AGAUGACAGAUGGCUGGGAUGAGCAGGCAGGACCCUGGGGUGGGUGUACAUGAGCAGCAGUGCCGCGGGGAACCCAGUGCAGCCCCCCACCCUUGCCUCCCCUCCUGCGCUCUACCUGGAAGAUGGCUUCUGGGAAAGUGCCUGGAAUCAGUAGAUGCGUAACAUUAUAAGGGAUUUAGAGGCUGUUUCAGAAAUCACUGUUUACUUUGGUUUGUGCUUGUAUGCGUGCCUGUGAAGAGACUGUUUGCAAGCCUCUGGACUGUAGCCAGCCAGGAUCCUCUGUCCGUGGAAUUCUUCAGGCAAGAGUACUGGAGUGGACUGCCAUGCCCUCCUCUGGAGAUUUUCCUAAACCAGGGAUGGAACCCACGUCUCUUUAUGUCUCCUGUAUUGGCAGACGAGCACACCGAGACUGCCAAAUGCCAAGGAACCGGGGAGAGGAGGUCGGAACACAGAUUUGACCUGUCUCCAAUGCUUCUGCCCAAGUCCAUGCUUUAAGCUACACCA
Long non-coding RNA from Bubalus bubalis (water buffalo), 504 nucleotides. RefSeq lists it as uncharacterized. The record is from RefSeq and is a predicted model, not a curated record. Lineage: Eukaryota; Metazoa; Chordata; Mammalia; Artiodactyla; Bovidae. The transcript is spliced from 3 exons.